UCGAUUCCCUUAGUAGCGGCGAGCGAAACGGGAAGAGCCCAAACCAACAAGCUUGCUUGUUGGGGUUGUAGGACACUCUAUACGGAGUUACAAAGGACGACAUUAGACGAAUCAUCUGGAAAGAUGAAUCAAAGAAGGUAAUAAUCCUGUAGUCGAAAAUGUUGUCUCUCUUGAGUGGAUCCUGAGUACGACGGAGCACGUGAAAUUCCGUCGGAAUCUGGGAGGACCAUCUCCUAAGGCUAAAUACUCUCUAGUGACCGAUAGUGAACCAGUACCGUGAGGGAAAGGUGAAAAGCACCCCGGAAGGGGAGUGAAAUAGAACCUGAAACCGUGUGCUUACAAGUAGUCAGAGCCCGUUAAUGGGUGAUGGCGUGCCUUUUGUAGAAUGAACCGGCGAGUUACGAUUUGAUGCAAGGUUAAGCAGUAAAUGUGGAGCCGUAGCGAAAGCGAGUCUGAAUAGGGCGUUUAGUAUUUGGUCGUAGACCCGAAACCAGGUGAUCUACCCUUGGUCAGGUUGAAGUUCAGGUAACACUGAAUGGAGGACCGAACCGACUUACGUUGAAAAGUGAGCGGAUGAACUGAGGGUAGCGGAGAAAUUCCAAUCGAACCUGGAGAUAGCUGGUUCUCUCCGAAAUAGCUUUAGGGCUAGCCUCAAGUGAUGAUUAUUGGAGGUAGAGCACUGUUUGGACGAGGGGCCCC
Molecule: ribosomal RNA, 699 nt
Filed under: Staphylococcus aureus
Lineage: Bacteria; Bacillati; Bacillota; Bacilli; Caryophanales; Staphylococcaceae
Description: partial 23S ribosomal RNA
Rfam family: Bacterial large subunit ribosomal RNA
Source: RNAcentral